This 1210-nucleotide ribosomal RNA is filed under the name Escherichia coli. Its description in RNAcentral is "partial 23S ribosomal RNA". It matches the Rfam family "Bacterial large subunit ribosomal RNA", at positions 1 to 1251 of the family's 2925-position model. The record is from RNAcentral. Lineage: Bacteria; Pseudomonadati; Pseudomonadota; Gammaproteobacteria; Enterobacterales; Enterobacteriaceae.
GGUUAAGCGACUAAGCGUACACGGUGGAUGCCCUGGCAGUCAGAGGCGAUGAAGGACGUGCUAAUCUGCGAUAAGCGUCGGUAAGGUGAUAUGAACCGUUAUAACCGGCGAUUUCCGAAUGGGGAAACCCAGUGUGAUUCGUCACACUAUCAUUAACUGAAUCCAUAGGUUAAUGAGGCGAACCGGGGGAACUGAAACAUCUAAGUACCCCGAGGAAAAGAAAUCAACCGAGAUUCCCCCAGUAGCGGCGAGCGAACGGGGAGCAGCCCAGAGCCUGAAUCAGUGUGUGUGUUAGUGGAAGCGUCUGGAAAGGCGUGCGAUACAGGGUGACAGCCCCGUACACAAAAAUGCACAUAUUGUGAGCUCGAUGAGUAGGGCGGGACACGUGGUAUCCUGUCUGAAUAUGGGGGGACCAUCCUCCAAGGCUAAAUACUCCUGACUGACCGAUAGUGAACCAGUACCGUGAGGGAAAGGCGAAAAGAACCCCGGCGAGGGGAGUGAAAAAGAACCUGAAACCGUGUACGUACAAGCAGUGGGAGCACGCUUAGGCGUGUGACUGCGUACCUUUUGUAUAAUGGGUCAGCGACUUAUAUUCUGUAGCAAGGUUAACCGAAUAGGGGAGCCGAAGGGAAACCGAGUCUUAACUGGGCGUUAAGUUGCAGGGUAUAGACCCGAAACCCGGUGAUCUAGCCAUGGGCAGGUUGAAGGUUGGGUAACACUAACUGGAGGACCGAACCGACUAAUGUUGAAAAAUUAGCGGAUGACUUGUGGCUGGGGGUGAAAGGCCAAUCAAACCGGGAGAUAGCUGGUUCUCCCCGAAAGCUAUUUAGGUAGCGCCUCGUGAAUUCAUCUCCGGGGGUAGAGCACUGUUUCGGCAAGGGGGUCAUCCCGACUUACCAACCCGAUGCAAACUGCGAAUACCGGAGAAUGUUAUCACGGGAGACACACGGCGGGUGCUAACGUCCGUCGUGAAGAGGGAAACAACCCAGACCGCCAGCUAAGGUCCCAAAGUCAUGGUUAAGUGGGAAACGAUGUGGGAAGGCCCAGACAGCCAGGAUGUUGGCUUAGAAGCAGCCAUCAUUUAAAGAAAGCGUAAUAGCUCACUGGUCGAGUCGGCCUGCGCGGAAGAUGUAACGGGGCUAAACCAUGCACCGAAGCUGCGGCAGCGACGCUUAUGCGUUGUUGGGUAGGGGAGCGUUCUGUAAGCCUG